AGUGAACGCUGGCGGUAGGCCUAACACAUGCAAGUCGAACGGCAGCACAGUAAGAGCUUGCUCUUACGGGUGGCGAGUGGCGGACGGGUGAGGAAUACAUCGGAAUCUACUUUUUCGUGGGGGAUAACGUAGGGAAACUUACGCUAAUACAGCAUACGACCUACGGGUGAAAGCAGGGGAUCUUCGGACCUUGCGCGAUUGAAUGAGCCGAUGUCGGAUUAGCUAGUUGGCGGGGUAAAGGCCCACCAAGGCGACGAUCCGUAGCUGGUCUGAGAGGAUGAUCAGCCACACUGGAACUGAGACACGGUCCAGACUCCUACGGGAGGCAGCAGUGGGGAAUAUUGGACAAUGGGCGCAAGCCUGAUCCAGCCAUACCGCGUGGGUGAAGAAGGCCUUCGGGUUGUAAAGCCCUUUUGUUGGGAAAGAAAAGCAGCAGGUUAAUACCCCGCUGUUCUGACGGUACCUAAAGAAUAAGCACCGGCUAACUUCGUG
RNAcentral lists this ribosomal RNA (492 nucleotides) under uncultured bacterium. Its description in RNAcentral is "partial 16S ribosomal RNA". It matches the Rfam family "Bacterial small subunit ribosomal RNA", at positions 29 to 507 of the family's 1533-position model. The record is from RNAcentral.